This 126-nucleotide microRNA precursor is filed under the name Myotis lucifugus (little brown bat). Its description in RNAcentral is "mir-9193 microRNA precursor family". It matches the Rfam family "mir-9193 microRNA precursor family". Lineage: Eukaryota; Metazoa; Chordata; Mammalia; Chiroptera; Vespertilionidae. The record is from Rfam by way of RNAcentral.
CAUGCACCAGUGGGGUCCCUCAGCCUGGCCUGCACCCUCUCACAAUCAGGGACUCCUUGGGGGAUGUUGGACUACUGGUUUUGGCCUGACCCCCCAGGCCAGGCUGAGGGACUCCACUGGUGCAUG